Molecule: unclassified non-coding RNA, 3045 nt
Filed under: Leishmania donovani
Lineage: Eukaryota; Euglenozoa; Kinetoplastea; Trypanosomatida; Trypanosomatidae
Description: gene:LdHU3.28.1670(CDS-product:hypothetical_prote in_conserved)
Source: RNAcentral
GAGGAGUGCACAGUCGUUGGCGCUUGCCUAGUGUGCGAGGUUUGCACCUCAUACGCACGCAUACAUACGCAUAGAUACACCCUUGCGAAACAACGAAACACACAUUGACGGGCAGUGGCACUGGUAAGUUAUCUUCACACAGGCGCACAAACCACCAUCCUCGACGCCCCUUCCAUCCCACCUCAAACCUGGCCCCUCGGCCACCUUUUCCGUUCACCACACACACACACACACACACACACACACACGGUCAUAUACGCCUGCUUCGCGCUGCUCGUCCACCACCACCUCCUUCUCCUCCGUGCGGGCGAGCUCGAGUCUUCUCCUGCGACACCUCGGGGCUACACAGACUUCUCUCCAUAAAUAUAUAUAUACACGUGGUGGCGAGCCGCCUUCUCAAUCAUAAGCAUCCCUCAAGCUUCAUUCCGCAGUUUCCUUCUCCGUCGCUCUCAUUCGCAAGUACCCUGGACGUCGUCCGCUGCCGGUGCGCACUACUGUCCUUGCCCAGCCGUACUAUCUCACUCUUCGCUGCCCUGGAGCGUCCCUGCGUUCUUAUUGGUGGAUGACGUCUUGUCACGCAUGCAGUAUCAUGUGCAGCUCGGCCUAGCACCCUCGUGCGCGGCGAGCGACUUCGACGGCGGUGAUGGGGUCCGCGGUACCGCUUCUUCGCCGUCGCUCGUCGCAUCGCCUUCUUCGACUUCAGCUCAAGCGAACUCAUCGCCAGCCCACCACCGGGAAAGCGCCAGCGGUAGCGGUGUCGGCAUCACCGUCGGCCAAGGUCUUUUGAGCGGUCGCCGCCUCGCUGUGCGACUGGCACCACCGUUGACAUCAAGUGCAACCCCUGUAGCCCAUGUCCCCGCUAGCGCCGCCGGAGGCAUGAGAGGAGGUGCGAGCCAUUGGCACUCAGGCGACAGCCUUUCCAGUGGUGCUCACCGUGGCAUGUGCGCGUCCUCUUCUCACCAUGCCGCAUCCGAAAUUCCGGCCUCGAAGACGAGCACCACCACCGGCAGAGUCAGAACCUCCUCGACCUACGGCAAAGGUAUCGUCCGCAUCAGCGAGCUUCGGCGGCAAGGGGUAACCUCCGUCGAAUCAGGCCUGCGGCUGGCCACACUCGCAGGAGGCCGCUCGGUAGCCGCGACUACAUCCACUCACGGAAGCGACGAUGCUCAUGGUGGUGCCAGCGAGGACGGAGAAGCCUUUUACGAGGCCUCGGCCCCGCAUGCCGCGCCCUCGCAGCGGCGCACACGGCAGCGUGGCUCACCAACGCGGGCAGCCACCACUUCCGCAUCUGUCUCGUCCUCGAUACAUGCACGCGGUGGUCGUAGCGAUCCAAGCACCAGGGGCAGUGCACAACGUCGCGGCCGAGGGAGCAGUGGUGGCUCGCGGGCCUCCGCAGCGGUUACACUGCGCAGUGACGGACAGUUGUGUGACUACCGCUGGUUCACCGCGCGUGGGCGCCGCUGUUUUGUCUACGACGGCCGCACGUACAAAGGCUCUAGCGCCCAUCGAAUGUGGGAGAAGGUCAAGGGGGCGGCGCGGCAGCGUGGUGUGUUGCCGCCGCAGCAAGCCGCGGCGGCGUCGCGCACAUCGCAUGCACCACGUGCUCGCGGAAGAGCAGAUGCCAGCGUUGCCCACUCAAUAGCAGCGGUGCACGCUACUGUGCCGCGUGUGCACCAGGCGUCCGCUCGCGCGCGCUCCGCAGCUGAGCACGUUCUUCUCCCACAGCAAACAAAACGGAGGUCGACCGCGGUAUCCCCAGGACUGGUCGACGACGCGACCCGCACCGGGGUUCUCGCUACUUCACAGUUGUCGGGGGAGUGGCGCACCCUGAUGGAGGAGCUUGGUAUGAUGCCAGAUGACGACAGGGGUGCGAUGGCAAGCGGCAGAGAAGGGUGCCUCUUCAAAGUAGCGGGUGGAACGCAGCCUCCGGAUGGUGCCGGAUCGAUCAGGCCGCCCUGCGCUCCACCGUGCCGUGCUAACCUCUCCGCGAGCAACGCAGCCACGGAGGAUGUGAUUGAAAUCAGCGACAGUAACUCGACCAGCAACGACACGGACGGCUCUGACUCCGACACUUCUAGCACUCUGUCAUCGACAGUGUCGCCCACUGGGGUGAGCGACGACGCUGACCGUGGGCAGCGUAAGGGCAACACUGUUGCGGCUGGUGCCCCACUGCAGUGGCCCGCCACGUCCUACUUUAGCGACGCGAGCAGUGUGUGGUCUUCUGCGUCAUCCUCCACGACGUCACCUGCUCGGCCGCCAUCGUCGACGUCGAGCAGCUCGCCGAGGCGGAAGCGAGGAAAGCAAGAGCGGUGCACGAAGCACCCUGUAGCCAGCACCACCACCACUGGUGCGCCGGCACGCCUUCGCAGAUAUCACGGGGUGCAGGUGGUGGAGCAGGACGGGUGGGUAUACCCGGUGGAUGUGUACGCAUCGCAGCAGCAGCAACAGGGGCGGGAAGGUGGACAAGUGAGAGAGACAGCACCAGGCAUAGCUUCUCAUGGUGCCACUCUACCAGCUUCGAUCGGGAACCGCACCGGUGUUAGCGGUGGCCGGCCGUCAGUGCCCUGUGGCGUCGAUGACCUGCCCUUGGCUGAUCUCUACAGAGAGGCGGUGACUACGCAAAGCAAUGUGGCCCUCCCCUCACAACUCUCUGCUCCCGCGCUGCUGGCUGUACCCUUACCGUCUUCCAAGGCGUCUGCGGGGCUGUCUGUAGUGAGUGGGAGCGGCGCAGCUGUCCCGGUGCGAUCUGCCGCUGUUUCAAGCGCGGCUCAGGGACGCCUUCUGAGCAGUUCCGUCGCACUCCAAAGCAACGUUGGUAGGGGUUGCGUCUCCGCGUUCUUGGGUGCUGAUGACAACCUCGACGACUUCAAUACCGCAGACCUUGCCGACAUGUUCGUCACGGGAGAAGAAAUCGGCGGGCUCCGCUACGAUGGCUGAACACGAAUGAAGGUGAACCGUUCAUCGCUCUCUCCAAGGCGGCCUGCCUCCCUUUCCGAGAGGGCGCCGCCUACGCCCACGAAUGGAGUGCCCGACACUGGGAGCGAC